Molecule: ribosomal RNA, 250 nt
Filed under: uncultured bacterium
Lineage: Bacteria
Description: partial 16S ribosomal RNA
Rfam family: Bacterial small subunit ribosomal RNA
Source: RNAcentral
UAAGGAAUAUUGGACAAUGGGCGCAAGCCUGAUCCAGCCAUCCCGCGUGCAGGAUGAAUGCCCUACGGGUUGUAAACUGCUUUUGAAGGGGAAGAAACCCCUGCUUUUAAGCGGGGCUGACGGUACCUUUCGAAUAAGCACCGGCUAACUCCGUGCCAGCAGCCGCGGUAAUACGGAGGGUGCAAGCGUUAUCCGGAAUCACUGGGUUUAAAGGGUGCGUAGGCGGCUUGGUAAGUCAGGGGUGAAAGCC